RNAcentral lists this ribosomal RNA (675 nucleotides) under uncultured Staphylococcus sp. Its description in RNAcentral is "bacterial SSU rRNA". It matches the Rfam family "Bacterial small subunit ribosomal RNA", at positions 61 to 719 of the family's 1533-position model. The record is from RNAcentral. Lineage: Bacteria; Bacillati; Bacillota; Bacilli; Caryophanales; Staphylococcaceae.
GUCGAGCGAACGGACGAGAAGCUUGCUUCUCUGAUGUUAGCGGCGGACGGGUGAGUAACACGUGGAAACCUACCUAUAAGACUGGGAUAACUUCGGGAAACCGGAGCUAAUACCGGAUAAUAUUUUGAACCGCAUGGUUCAAAAGUGAAAGACGGUCUUGCUGUCACUUAUAGAUGGAUCCGCGCUGCAUUAGCUAGUUGGUAAGGUAACGGCUUACCAAGGCAACGAUGCAUAGCCGACCUGAGAGGGUGAUCGGCCACACUGGAACUGAGACACGGUCCAGACUCCUACGGGAGGCAGCAGUAGGGAAUCUUCCGCAAUGGGCGAAAGCCUGACGGAGCAACGCCGCGUGAGUGAUGAAGGUCUUCGGAUCGUAAAACUCUGUUAUUAGGGAAGAACAUAUGUGUAAGUAACUGUGCACAUCUUGACGGUACCUAAUCAGAAAGCCACGGCUAACUACGUGCCAGCAGCCGCGGUAAUACGUAGGUGGCAAGCGUUAUCCGGAAUUAUUGGGCGUAAAGCGCGCGUAGGCGGUUUUUUAAGUCUGAUGUGAAAGCCCACGGCUCAACCGUGGAGGGUCAUUGGAAACUGGAAAACUUGAGUGCAGAAGAGGAAAGUGGAAUUCCAUGUGCAGCGGUGAAAUGCGCAGAGAUAUGGAGGAACACCAGUGGCGAA